This 253-nucleotide ribosomal RNA is filed under the name uncultured bacterium. RNAcentral's name for it is "partial 16S ribosomal RNA". It matches the Rfam family "Bacterial small subunit ribosomal RNA", at positions 524 to 776 of the family's 1533-position model. The record is from RNAcentral.
UACGAAGGGAGCUAGCGUUGUUCGGAAUUACUGGGCGUAAAGCGCACGUAGGCGGAUUUGUCAGUCAGGGGUGAAAUCCCGAGGCUCAACCUCGGAACUGCCUCCGAUACAGCAAGUCUUGAGGAUGAGAGAGGUUGGUGGAAUUCCUAGUGUAGAGGUGAAAUUCGUAGAUAUUAGGAAGAACACCGGUGGCGAAGGCGGCCAACUGGCUCAUAUCUGACGCUGAGGUGCGAAAGCGUGGGGAGCAAACAGG